This 516-nucleotide ribosomal RNA is filed under the name uncultured bacterium. Its description in RNAcentral is "bacterial SSU rRNA". It matches the Rfam family "Bacterial small subunit ribosomal RNA", at positions 31 to 518 of the family's 1533-position model. The record is from RNAcentral.
GAACGCUGGCGGCGUGCCUAAUACAUGCAAGUCGAACGGUCUUUCUAUGGAAGCUUGCUUCCACUGAGAAGAUAGUGGCGAACGGGUGAGUAACACGUGGGUAACCUGCCCAUAAGAGGGGGAUAACGAUCCGGAAACGGGUGCUAAUACCGCAUAGUUUUCUUGAUCGCAUGAUUGAGAAAGGAAAGACGGCCUUUGUGCUGUCGCUUAUGGAUGGACCCGCGGCGUAUUAGUUAGUUGGUGAGGUAACGGCUCACCAAGACGAUGAUACGUAGCCGACCUGAGAGGGUGAUCGGCCACAUUGGGACUGAGACACGGCCCAAACUCCUACGGGAGGCAGCAGUAGGGAAUCUUCCGCAAUGGACGAAAGUCUGACGGAGCAACGCCGCGUGAGUGAAGAAAGGGUUUUCGGAUCGUAAAACUCUGUUGUCAGAGAAGAACAAGUUGGAGAGUAACUGCUCCAGCCUUGACGGUAUCUGACCAGAAAGCCACGGCUAACUACGUGCCAGCCGCCGC